UCAGGAUGAACGCUGGCGGCGUGCCUAACACAUGCAAGUCGAGCGAAGCACUUUGCUUAGAUUCUUCGGAUGAAGAGGAUUGUGACUGAGCGGCGGACGGGUGAGUAACGCGUGGGUAACCUGCCUCAUACAGGGGGAUAACAGUUAGAAAUGACUGCUAAUACCGCAUAAGACCACAGCACCGCAUGGUGCGGGGGUAAAAACUCCGGUGGUAUGAGAUGGACCCGCGUCUGAUUAGCUAGUUGGUAAGGUAACGGCUUACCAAGGCGACGAUCAGUAGCCGACCUGAGAGGGUGACCGGCCACAUUGGGACUGAGACACGGCCCAAACUCCUACGGGAGGCAGCAGUGGGGAAUAUUGCACAAUGGGGGAAACCCUGAUGCAGCGACGCCGCGUGAGCGAAGAAGUAUUUCGGUAUGUAAAGCUCUAUCAGCAGGGAAGAAAAUGACGGUACCUGACUAAGAAGCACCGGCUAAAUACGUGCCAGCAGCCGCGGUAAUACGUAUGGUGCAAGCGUUAUCCGGAUUUACUGGGUGUAAAGGGAGCGUAGACGGGUGGGCAAGUCUGAUGUGAAAACCCGGGGCUCAACCCCGGGACUGCAUUGGAAACUGUUCAUCUAGAGUGCUGGAGAGGUAAGUGGAAUUCCUAGUGUAGCGGUGAAAUGCGUAGAUAUUAGGAGGAACACCAGUGGCGAAGGCGGCUUACUGG
Molecule: ribosomal RNA, 708 nt
Filed under: uncultured Lachnospiraceae bacterium
Lineage: Bacteria; Bacillati; Bacillota; Clostridia; Lachnospirales; Lachnospiraceae
Description: bacterial SSU rRNA
Rfam family: Bacterial small subunit ribosomal RNA
Source: RNAcentral